UACGUAGGGUGCGAGCGUUGUCCGGAAUUAUUGGGCGUAAAGAGCUUGUAGGCGGUCUGUCGCGUCUGCUGUGAAAAUCCGGGGCUCAACCCCGGACUUGCAGUGGGUACGGGCAGACUAGAGUGUGGUAAGGGAGACUGGAAUUCCUGGUGUAGCGGUGAAAUGCGCAGAUAUCAGGAAGAACACCCGUGGCGAAGGCGGCUCUCUGGGACGGUACUGACGCUGAGACGCGAAAGCGUGGGGAGCGAACAGG
RNAcentral lists this ribosomal RNA (253 nucleotides) under uncultured bacterium. RNAcentral's name for it is "partial 16S ribosomal RNA". It matches the Rfam family "Bacterial small subunit ribosomal RNA", at positions 524 to 776 of the family's 1533-position model. The record is from RNAcentral.